UACGUAGGGGGCAAGCGUUGUCCGGAAUCAUUGGGCGUAAAGCGCGCGUAGGCGGCCCGAUAAGUCUGCUGUGAAAGUCCAGGGCUCAACCCUGGAAUGCCGGUGGAUACUGUCGGGCUAGAGUUCGGAAGAGGCAAGUGGAAUUCCUGGUGUAGCGGUGAAAUGCGCAGAUAUCAGGAGGAACACCAAUGGCGAAGGCAGCUCGCUGGGACGUGACUGACGCUGAGACGCGAAAGCGUGGGGAGCAAACAGG
RNAcentral lists this ribosomal RNA (253 nucleotides) under uncultured bacterium. Its description in RNAcentral is "partial 16S ribosomal RNA". It matches the Rfam family "Bacterial small subunit ribosomal RNA", at positions 524 to 776 of the family's 1533-position model. The record is from RNAcentral.